RNAcentral lists this long non-coding RNA (321 nucleotides) under Elaeis guineensis (African oil palm). Its description in RNAcentral is "long non-coding RNA (EGUI_LNC042519)". Lineage: Eukaryota; Viridiplantae; Streptophyta; Magnoliopsida; Arecales; Arecaceae. The record is from RNAcentral.
CGUUGAUGAUCGAGCUUCUUCAGCAACAGGACUUCUGUAGUAACCAGACUCCAUCCAAAUUUCUACGGUGGUCGACCUCCUUUCAAAUUUCAACCGAACUUCUACUGCAAGCGAUCUACUUUGGAUCUCUACUAUGAAUUUUAGCCGAACUUCUACUACAAGCGGUCUACUUCAGAUCUCUACUGUAAGCAAAUUUCAUCCAAGCUUCUACUGUAAACAAAUUCCUUCCAAACUUUUGUUACAGGCGGACUUCAGUCGAUCUUCUUCAAUAAGCGGUCCCCAUCCGGACUUCUACAAGAAUCGAAUUCCGUCUGAACUUCC